AAUAAAAGAAGAUAUGAAAACAUAAUCUGCUAUGGAAACAUGAUCAAUUCUACAUUCAACAUAAUUAUGGAAACUGCAAGUCAACAACAUCUAAAUAAUAUUUGAAUCAGUCUGCAAAAUCUCUACCACAUGAAAAUCUGACAACUGUCUGAAACUGGGACAAGGCCCCCAGUAGACCAAAUCUGAAAUACGUGACAUAAUCUGAAAAGACAGGCCUUCUGGAAUAGAAAAGGCUCACCACUGCACAAUCUGAUCAGCUAUCUGAAUUAUUUACUGCUUAUCUGGACCCCUAGACUGUGCCUCAGAACCUGAGAGGUUUGAGGGGGAGGGGGUCAAUACAGAUGUACUGGUACGUAAAGCAUAUCCAAAAUAAUCAUUUAUUAUCCAACAUAUAUGAGAGCAAUUUAAAACAGUUCAUGAGUAUAUCAUAUAGUAAGAAUUCACAUGGGCAUUUUAAAGACUAUAAAAAUCAUCACAACUCUGAGAAAUCUGUGUUACUUCUGUGCUAGGUGGUAUACCCUACAACUCUGAAAAAUUUCAUGGGCUAUAUGGAAACUGCCAUUAACUCAGCAGCGAAGCCCCCAACCCAAGUGUGCCACAAGGGUCGGAGUCUCUGAAUCUACUACUCCACACGGUCGUCACUAGCGUACAAUAAUAAUCUACCCGUAUCGGCAAAUACAGUUUCAGGCUAAGAGUUGCUUGAACUCGAGCCAUCUUCGGGUAACCACCUAUCCCUCUGUAAGCCCCUUCUUAAAACUCUAUCAAAAUAUACAGUCUCUGAAAACAUAAUCUCUUAUGGCAUAAAUACAUAUGGUAUCGUCAUACCAUUAACUUGCAAUUCACAUCUCUGAGCUAUUAUUAAUCUAUCAUAAAUCUCUGUAUUCAAAACAAGUUUUGAGACCAUCAUUUCAAUAAUUCAAUUCAAUGAAUUUUUUCUUCUCAAUCCUCAUGUAAACACAUGCAAUUUUUUAUCAUACCCACAAGAACAUAUUGAUAUCAAGAAACACCCUCUCAACAAUUCCAAAUCAUGUUUAAAUGCUAGGAUAUAGCAAAAACAUCUUUGAAAUCACAAAACCAUAAUUCUUUAAAUCAAUACAAGAGAGGGAGUUCAUAAUUUAUGCUCUCAACAAUCUUAAAUCUCAAAUUCAUACAUAUACAUAUAUAUAUGUAAAGCAAUCUAGGGGAAAAGACCACAAGGCCAAAGCAAUAGUAGCAUUGAAACUUCCGUAAAGCAUAAUCAAUAAUAUAGUUUUCAAAACCCCCAUAAAAUACAUGCAUCAAAACCUUUAAAUCAUGCUCUAACAAUUUCAAGCCCAUGUAGGUUUUUAGGAUAAACCCCACGUACUUCUAUUUCGAAGAAUAAUGAAUGAUUCUUGAAGCUUACGGAUUGGGAAUUCCAAAUCUCUAAUUAUCUUCAAAAACUCACCGUUGAAUCUUGAGUUACGAGGAUUUUUAGUUUGAAACCCUAAUGGAGUUUCUUGAGAGAUUUUGAUGAAAAUAAUCUUACUUUGGUGUUCUUGGGAUUAAAUCUCGUGUUAGAGAUGAUAAGGGUUGGACAAGUACCAUUUUACCCUUAAUGAGAUGGAGUAAAAAUAUAACUGGUGCUUGAUUUUAUGGGCCACCGUGAUCUGCCACUAUCGCGGUGGCUCACUGGAAAUUGACGAAUGCGAAAUUGAGAUCCUCCAAGACGCGCCACUAUCGCAAGGUCCCACUGGAAUUUUACAAUUGCUAAUUAAACCAUCUCUGCGACGCGCUAAAUAGCAAAAUGACGAUGUUUUACGACUAGCACAUAAAAUAGCCAUAACUUCUUCACCGAGUGUCUGUUUUGGACGAAUCUUAUAUCGACAGAAAGCUUCUUCAGUCAUCUACGUAAUGAAAAGUUGAAAUCUACGAAAUUCCAUAGGGAAAUAAGUGUAAAUCAUUCUAGAAGACAAAGCGUGACACUUUAGGGACAAAAUUUAGCUAGGAAAAGUUUGGGGGCGUUACAGUUUUCCAGCUUAUUAGUAUAGAUGAUUCAGUAUUUUCAGAUAGUUCGAGUCAGCUGGGGGUUUGUCCCAGUGACUCUCUAGUUAUUUAUAUUAGAAGCUUGUCAGACUGCUAGAUUUGCUUCAGAUUUUCAGUAUUGAUUUAUCAAACUCUUGAGUUAAACAUUUUCAGAUAUUAUAUUUAGAUACUUUCAGCUUAGCCCAUAUAGAAUUCCACAUUUUAGCUUGAUUAUAUAUCUAUACUUCCCUAUUAUGAGUUUCAGAUUUAGUGGAUGGCUUACAGGAUUAACUUAAGGCUACUCGUAGUCUUGAACACCGUGUGACGUCUCGGGACUUAUUUUCGGGGCAUUACAUAUUGCAACACCCCCAAAAUCCAAGAUAUGAUUAGAACCAUAAUUCAAGUACAUGUGGAAUCAAAUUCAUAUUUUGAUAGUAUGAGAAGUGAUUUAAACAUAUAUUAAGGCCACAAGUAACUCUUAGCUCAUAACCAAGUCAAAACCUCUCUUAUUGAUUUCUUGUAAAGAAUCUUGCUAUAGUCAAUUUCAAAUGAGUAUAACUCAUGGAUUCUAACGUGUUUUUGAUCUCAAGAACCCCCAAAUGAAAGAUAUUUGAAUUAUCUUUCCAACUCAUACAGUUUUGUACUAAUUCGAUAUUGGAGUAAAAAGUUAUGGCCAUAUUAGUGAAGCAUUGUCAAAGCUAUCAACGAUGGGCCGUCAAAAGACCUGACAGGCCAUGGGAAGACUCCAUGUGCCAGGAGGAGGUUCAUGUCCACUUCUAAAAGAAAGUAUAAAACAAUUCCUAAAUGACAAUCCGAGCAAUGACCCAUAGCCAGGUCCCACAAGCUGUCAUUUGAGACAUCGAAGUGAACUCCAACAUUUUUCCAUACAGCUUUAAAGGGGUUGUUUUGUAUUUUUCCAUUCUUUUAACAUCAAAACUAUGUAUUUUAAGUUAUUUCAAGGUUUAUUAUUAAGUCUAAAAUUAUGAAAAUUUCUUUAUUACUCAGGAAUCAGUAGACACUUUGUAAAAACACAGAGAAAGAGGUGAUUUACUUUUCUUAAGGCAGAAUUAGGGUUCUUUAACUUCAAGCUCCAAGUUCAAAUAUUUCUUCAAGACUCUUUUCACCAGGUAUGUGGAAUUUCAUCAAGGGGUUUCCCUGUACCCGUUGAGUCCCAACGUUAAUUACAAUCCACAAUUUAAUCUUUCUUCAGAGUGUAGGGUUUAUGAAUAAUGUAAAAUCCUUUGUAUUAUAGUGUUCCUUCAAAAUGUUGUUUAUCUCCAUGUUUUCAUUGAAAGUUCAUAUCUUUACAUGUAUGAAUUCAUGAUUCUCAGUACAUAAUUUAUGGGUUUUGGCUUGAGUAUGAAUAUUCCCUUUUCUCCAUUUGAUCAUUGAAUUGUCAUAAGAGUUGCAUUCUACAGAGAUAGCGAUUUAUGAACACCCAAUGGCCUAGGAUUUCAUGCAUAUAUUCAAUCCCUCAGUUUUCAUGAUUUGAAUAUUUUUGGAUAAAGUAAUCAUUUUUUGUCUUCGAAAUAUUUAUAUUAUUGAGCAUUCCAGCUAUUAGUUAUUAUUCAGUUGGGAAUAGUACUUAGCACCGAUCGAAUGUAGGGAUGAAUAUUCACUUGUUAGUUAGGUUGAGACCUUUAGUAGAAGUCCCAGAACUAAAGCACCACCAUAGGUUCUAAAGGGCCACCCAUCAUACCAGGCUUGAUACCCUAGUCCUUUUAGACAUCAGUUUUGUGGAUCCACGUCAGUUAGUGUUCGUACCCUUGGCAAGGUACUGAAUACCCAUACUGCUGGGGUUACAGGAUGGACCCUUAUUAGCUCAAAUUGUGGUAUUUUAGUUAACAAUAACUCUCACAUUCCACAGUUCAGCUUUAGAUAGUUGCAUGACCUUGUAUUCAAUUCUUCGACAUAUCAUACAACACAUGUUUAUUACUUGGUCUUGCAUCAGUUUAUCAUAAUACAUGCAUUAUGUCUAUCUAUAUCAGUUAUUUCCUAUCUCACAUACUCAUUACAUUCAAAUUACAGAUAACAUACUUGUCUUUGCGUUUUAUUGUCUUAUAAUAUAGGUUCAGAUAUUUAACAUCUGAAUCAUGUAUAGUACAGUUCCGCACCAUAUCAGCAGUAGCAUUUGGUGAGUCCUCAUCAUUCGAGGGCCAGUUAUCAACAUUUUUUAGUAGUAUUUUAGUUUCAAAUAGUCAGGAUUAGUUGGGGGCUAGUCUGAGCAACUAAUUUUAUUAGAAGCUUUCAGACUGUCAUCUAGAUUAUGUUUGCAGCUCUAUGAGUUUUAUUCAAAUAUAGUCACUUGAGCUUGUGGCCAAAUUUAUUAUUCAGAUUAUUAUUUUCUACAUUAGUGAUUUUCAGUUUAUUUCAGUAUUUGGAGUAACAACAACUAUAGGGGCAUCAAGUUAUUGAGUCAUACUAUGAAGGUUUGGGAAAGGGUGAUAGAGUUAAGGAUGAGGAGGAUCGUGAAUAUUUUCGAGAAUCAAUUUGGAUUCAUUCGAGAUAGUUUGAAUACUGAGGCCAUUCACCUCAUGGAGAGAUUAAUAGAGCAAUUUAGGGAGAGAAAAAAGGAUUUGAACAUAAUAUUCAUUAAUCUUGAGAAGGCGUAUGACAAAGUUCCUAGAGAGAUUCUGUGGAAGUACUUGGAGGCUAGAGGCAUGCCCGUGGAGUAUAAUAAGUCGAUUCAAGACAUGUACUAUGGUGCGAAGACUUGUGUGAAGACAAUAAGAGGAGAUUUGGAUCACUUUCCUAUUUUGAUAAGGUUGCACCAGGGAUCAACUCUUAGCCCAUAUUUAUUUUCUUUAGUGAUGCGUGUUUUGACGUGAUGUAUUUAAAGGGAGGUUCCUUAGUGCAUGCUAUUUUAUGAUGAUGUUGUACUGAUUGAUAAGACUUGAGAAGGAGUUAAUAAUAAGUUGGAGGUUUGGAGACAGACAAUUGAGUCCAAAGAACUUAAGUUGAGUAGGACCAAGGUGGAGUACUUGGAGUAUAUGUUUAGUGAUUUGUCGCUUGAGGCUGACAUGGUGGUGAAGCUGAAUUCUCAGGCCAUUUAGAAAAAAGAAAGUUUCAAGUAUCUUGGGUCUAUGAUUCAAGGAAAUAGCGAGAGUGACGAGAAUAUCACAUAUCGUAUUAGUGCAGGAUGGUUGAAAUGAAGGCUCGCUUCAGAGGUUUUGCUUGAUAAGAAGGUGCCUAAGUUCUACAGAGCAGCAUUCAGAUCAGCUACGUUGUAUGGAGCGAAGUAUUGGGAAGUUAAGAACUCCUGCAUCUAAAAGUUGAAGGUGGUGGAUAUGAGGAUAUUGCGAUGAAUAUGUGGACUUACCAGGAAAGAUAGGGUUAGAAAUGAGAUUAUUCGGGAGAAGGAGGGAAUGGUUUCGGUAGAGGACAAGAUGCGAAAAGUGAGCUCGCGAUGGUUCGGGCAUAUGAUGACGAGGGGAACAGAUGAUCCAGUUUGGAGGUGUGAGAGGCUGGCUAUGGAUAGUUUUAGGUGAGGUAGAGAUAGGCCAAAGAAAUAUUGGAGGAAGGUUGUAAUACCCCGGAUUUCCCUACCCUAGAUUAACACUCAGGUCAUGGGUUAUCCUAAAUAAAAUAUUUGGAAUACUUAGUAAUUUUUAGAUUUGAGCCUGUAAUUGCGUAGGAAAUCCAAUUAGCUUUUCAACGAUAUAAAAUUUGCCUAAAUCCGACAAACGGGUAAGAAGUUAUGGCGAUUUUAAGUUUCAAUCGUUAAACAUCAUCAUUCAGGCAAGUAGCGCGUUGCGGAGUGUGUCAAAAUAGCACUUGUUAGUUUCAAGUGUUGCUCCGCGAUGUUGGCGCGUCACUCCAUAGACCCAGUUCACAAUUGUCAACUUCCAGUGUGCCAACGUGAUCCCACCGCGUCGCGGUGCACUUCCAGUUCACAAACAAAGUGGCAACACAAUACCACUGCUUUGCGCAACCAUGCAAUUUUCCAGUAAUCAUUUUCCAAUGGCCCGGCAUGAUAGCAGCGCAUCGCGCUAGGGAUCCAAAUCGGAAAAAUUUCACGAAAACUUAAAGUUGCGCGCAGGGUUAAAACAGUCUUUUUCCAUGAUUUUAUUCCGCUCAAAUGUGGGAUUUAAGCCCUAAAAAUAUGUAAAACCCUUCAUUAUUCACUUUUCCCCAAAAUCAAAAGGUAGUUCUCUCUCAAGAAAACAAAUCCUAGCUCUCAAGAAUCAAGGUCACUCCCAAGAAUUUCUCCAAGAACUCAUCAAAUUAAGGUAUGUUAGAUGUUCAUUCAUGGAUCCUUACCUUUCAUAGAGACCAAGAAUCCUUUUUCAAUAUACAAGAUUUAUGAUUUAUGAUUUCCAUGUUUGAAUUAGAUUGAAUUCAUGUUCAUGAUGUUGUUUGAGUUUUAAUCCAUGAUUAGAUUACGAGUUCCAAGAAUUGACUCUAGCAUGUGUUGAAUUACAUAAUAAUCAUGAUAAACCCCUCAAUUUGCAAGUUGAUUAUUGUAACCAUGUUAACCCUAAGUGUUUAUGAUCUAAUGAACCAAGUAUGCUUCUUAUGUGUUUGAUAAAUUGUCUGUGUGAAUGAAAUAGUGUCAUAUAACAUGCUAACAUGUAUUUCCCAUUUAUGUACAAGUUAAUGCAUUACAAGUGCUUGAUGGAAUGUCUCUAUGAUUGAAUUAUGACCAAUUGAACAUUGUUAUGUUAUUCAAGAUUAUGCUUUUCUUUAAUUUUUAUCAGUGAUCCCAGAUUAUCAGUAUAUUCAGUUAUCAGUUAUCAUAUUUAGUUCCAGUAUACUCAGUCACAAUAGGCACAGUAUGUUCAAUAGUUACAAAUCUUCCAUGUAUGCUAAUCCAGCUCUUGCAUAUUAUUCAAUUAGUUAUUAUUCAUGCAUAUGAACCUAUGCAUUCAGCCUUACCUCAUUUAGCAUACCAGUACAUUCACACAUACUAACUGCAUACCCGUUUCUUACGCUAUGAUGUUUCAUAUCAUAGGUUCGGACGCUCAAGCUCCUUCCGCGCUUAGCCAGAUUCAGCCAGCAGUAGCAGAUUUAGCAAUGAAUUCUCAUCUAUCGAGGAUAUACUUUUAUUUUAGUACUUCAGCUUAGCAGUAUUUUAGUAGAUGGAGUUAGUUGGGGGAUUGUCCCAUCAACUCCACUUUUAGACAGAUUUAGUUAGAGGCUUUUCAGACUAGAUUUUCAGACAGUAUUCAGAUUUAGAUGUUAUUAUAUUUUAUCAGUAUUUUAGAUGCUUUGAACCUUAUGUCAUUUCAGCCCAUUAUUUCAUAUUUAUUUCAGUAUUAUUGUUCAGUGCUAACAGCAGAUAUCAUUCAUGGGUUAGCUUAUGGUCCUUCGGGGUCGCAAGCACAGUGUAACGACUAGGGGAUAGUCUCGGGCCGUUACAAACUUGGUAUCAGAGCCUAAGGUUCAAUAGUGUCCUAGGGAGUCUGAAAAGUCGUAUCGCGUAAAGUCUUAUUCAUGGGUGUAUAGCACACCACACUUAUAGAUCGGGGGCUAUGGGAUGUUUUAGGAAAAAUUUCCCUUCUUUCAGUAUUCAUGUCGUGUGAGUGAGCAUGAGCUCAAGUUAAUCUCUUAGUCUAAUCCGCCCUAUCAGUUACAAGAUGUAGCCCAUACGUGGUUUAAGUAGUGGAAGGUAGACAGGGGUAUAGAUACAGAGCCCAUAGAGUGGGAAGAGUUUGCUACUGUCUUUCUAGACAGAUUUUUUCCCUUAGAGCUGAGAGAAGCCAAAAUGUUAGAGCUCAUCAAUCUCAGACAAGGUUGUAUGAGCGUAAAAGAGUAUUCCUUCAAGUUUACUCAGUUAUCCAGGUAUGCUCCCCAUGUAGUAGCUGAUAAUAGGUCCAGAAUGAGCAAGUUCAUAUUUGAGGUGUUAGAUAGUGUGGUCAAGGAGUGCAGAACAGCGAUGUUGAUUAAGGAGAUGGAUAUAUCUAGGCUUAUGGUCCAUGCUCAACAGAUUGAGGAGCAGAAGCUUAAGAAGAAGGAGAGAAAGAAGGGCUAGAACAGGUAGCUUUAAUUUCAGUCAGCCUAAGUCAGAAGGCGGUAACUGUUCCCAAUUUCAUCCAAAGUCUUCAGUCCCAGGUCCAUCCUCAACCAGUAUACCGAUGACCCAGGAUAGCAUAAGCAAUGGUCGUACUAAUUCGUUUUGUGGAGAGUGUGGUAAGAAUCAUAAGGGUGUGUGCAGAGUUAGAAGUGAUGUUUGUAUCGGGUGUGGCAAGCCAGGCCACAGAGUCAAAGAUUGUCCUCAGUCAGGUUCUCAGGGUCAGUAUAGUCGUCGUUCAGCUUAGUCAGGUCACCCAAAUCAACAAGGUGCCACUUCCAGUGCCACCAGUGGGCAACGCCUAAACAAGUUUUACGCACUUCAGUCCAGAUAAGAUCAGGAAAGUUCUCCUGGUAUGGUCACUGGUAUGUUACGGAUCUCUCAUUUACAUAUUUAUGCCUCAAUUUUAGAUCCCAGAUAUUCAGUCACGAUUUAGUUCAUCGGUUCCCCGUGCAUUGUCUCAUGCUUUUCCUUAGUAUCUCAGCUAAGUCAGCAUUCUCGAGGGACAUAGUGUUCCAAGGGGGGGAUGCACUAUAACCCCCAAGCUAUCAUGAUCUAAACCUUCCAUUUUCUCUUCACGUAGCAAAUCCAGUUGAAGUAAUAGGUCCUUAUAGUUGACCCUCAAGUCCCAAGUUCAGCCGUAUAACCAUCCCCCUGUUAUGAACACGUAUCCAAGGAAUCAAUUCAGUUCAUGUAUCAUGAUUCAGACUUAGUCAUAUCCCCAUGUUCCCGUUCAUGUAUAUUCAGUCACGUAUUCAUUAAUCCGUUCAGACAUAUACUCAUGCAUCAGACAUGCAUGUUCAGAAUGUAAGUUCAGUCUAUCAGACCAGUCACGUAAUCAUGCUUCAGUUGUCCAUGUCUAGUUUAGUACGUAAACUCAAUCUGUUCGUACUCUCUCAGCUUAACUAGCCACAUUCGAGGACGAAUAUUCCCAAUGGGGAGAUAUUGUAAUACCCCGUAUUUCCCUAGCCUAGAUUAACCCUCAGUACAUUGGUUAUCCUAAAUAAAAUUUUUGGAAUACUUAGUAAUUUUCAGAUUUGAGCCUGUCAUUGCUUAGGAAAUUCAAUUAGCUUUCCAACGAUAUAAAAUUUGCCUAAAUCUGACAAUCGGGUAAGAAGUUAUGGCGAUCUUAAGUUUCAAUCUUUAAACAUCGUCAUUCAGGCAAGUAGCGCAUCGCGAAGUGUGUCAAAAUAGCAAUUGUCAAUUUUCAAUGUUGCUCCGUGAUGUUGGUGCGUCGUGCCAUAAACCCAGUUCACAAUUGUCAAUUUCCAAUGUGCCAAUGCAAUUCCACCGCCUCGCGAUGCACUUCCAGUUCACAAAUAAAGUGGCAACGCGAUACCACCACGUCACGCCACCAUGAAAUUUCCAGUUGUCAUUUUCCAAUGGCCCAGUGCGAUAGCGGCGCGUCACGCCAGGGGUCCAAAUCAGGAAAAUUUCACGAAAACUUAAAGUUGCGCCCAGGGUUAAAACAGUCGCCCAGGGUUAAAACAGUCUUUUUCCAUGAUUUUAUUCCGCCCAGAUGUGGAAUUUAAGUUCUAAAAAUGUGUAAAACCCUUCACUAUUCACUUUUCCCCAAAAUCAAAAGUUAGGUAUCUCUCAAGAAAACCUCUCAAGAAUCAAGGUCAAUCCCAAAAAUUUCUCCAAGAACUCAUCAUAUUAAGGUAUGUCAGAUGUCCAUUUAUGGAUCCUUACCUUAUCUAUCUAUCCGCCGCCGGGACGAUCGUCCACCAUUUGGACGGUACGCAUCACCGGCAGGCAAGUAUAUCCUCUCCAAAAGCAAGAACCUUCAUCCAUACCAAGUAUCGCCUCACAAUCUUUAUAGAUGAACCUCUACUCUCUUCUCUUUUCAUCAAUUCUACCAUAAAUUGAAUUCCCUAAUCAGUGUUUUGGUCAAAUUACUCCGGCAUGAUAGAUCGGGUAGCUAACCAAUCCCUUGGCCUUGGUCAGCCAUCAUCAAUUGUAUUAGCUACUACCUCUCCAGUUAAUUUUCCAGAGUUAUAUCACCCAUGUGCGUCAAAAAAAUCCCAACAAUGUCCCACGGAUGCUAAGGUUGAUAAUCCUCAACAAAGUCCUAAUCUGACCCAAAAACCCCUUAUUGUGGAUGAUGAGCAAAAUGACCAGUCCAAGAAAAUGAGGUAUGCUGAUUUGUUGAAAUCCAAAACCUCAUAAAGGAAUGCUUCAAAUGUUGCAGGUACGCCAAUACAAAUGAAACCUGUAAUAUAUAAUGAUGGAAUCCCUCGAGUAACCUGGACAGAAGAAGUACAAAGAAUGAACGUCUUGGAGAAUUUACAAUUAGCUAUUAUUGGAAAAUUCUCCUAUGGUUGGCCAGAAUUGGAAGAUCUAAGAGUGCAAAUACCAUCACAAUGCAAAAUUAAAGGUGAGUGCAAAAUUGGGCUUCUCCGUAAUAGACAUAUAUUGAUGAGAUUUAAUCUAUUGGAGGAUUAUGUCAAUAUGCUAUCCAAAAAUGUCUAUUAUAUCAUUGCAAAAAAUGGGCUGGCUUACCAGAUGUGCCCUCUAAUUUAUGAUGUAAAUUUUAAGCCAGAAGAAGAAACUACUCAAGCUAUGGCAUGGAUCUCUUUUCCUGAUCUAUUACCUACCUUUUAUGGUAAGGAAUCUCUAUUUUCAUUGAAAUCAUCAAUUGGUAAACCCAUCUAGUUGGACAUGGCUAUAAUCAAUAAAACUCAUCCUAGUUGUGCAAAAGUUAAAGUCUAGGUGGAUCUUGCCAGGAAAUUGCCGAAGGUUGUUGAAAUAGAAGUAGUGAACAAGAAGACUACAGGGUCGAGUGUUCAAUCUAUAAGAGUCCAAUAUGAUAUGCUACCUAAAUAUUGUCAUGCAUGCAAAUUGCAAGGUCAUGAUGGAGAUGAUUGCAGAACAUUGCACCUAGAACUGAGACCAAAAAGAAUUUACUACAAGACAGAAGAGGAAGACAAUGAUCAAAAUGAGGAAAACAACAAGACUCCAGUGCAAAUAAGAUACAUUUAUGGCAAAGUGGUCUACGUCAAAUGGAAUCCCACCAAGAGAUUGUUCAAAAUGGAGAGAGGGAUAAUGAGCACAGCAACAGAACCUCAACAAGGUAAGGGAGUUAGUAUAUCAAACCAUUUUGGAGUACUGCAAGCCAGUGAAAAGGAGGGCAGCCAUGGGUUGGAAGACAAAGAAAAGAAUGCAAACUCACCUAAGGAGGUUACUGAAACAGCCCACCAAAAACAUGUGCAUCAACAACUAUCCAAUAGAGGCAGAAUGCAGGAAGAAAAAAAUGUCAAAGCUCAACCAAAUCAGGUACAUGGCUUCACAUAUCAACGUAAUAAUGCCACGGAGAUUACAGACACUACAGAUAUGGCAGACAAGGAUAAUGGCAUUAUUGAAGGAAAAUCCAGCAGCAGCAGAGCAGAGAUAGAUGACAGUAGGGCAGAUAAACAAAAUUUAUCUGAACAAUACAAAAGUGGUGGCAUGGAAAAUGAGGAACGGAGUUUGGCUGUCACCAGAAAAAUUGGUGAGAUUAAUCAAAGCAUCCAUGAGAAUACACUACCAGUUGAGGAUUUCAUUGAUCAAGAGUAUCAAUUAUCCAAUGCAACUUAUCAUGAACCUUUGAACGUAGAUACCACUUUGGCUGCUGUAAACAUUGCUGAGGCCACUAGCCGAUUCCCAACUGAAAAUGCAAUUAAAAUGAAUGACUCGAUAGCAACAGAAGAGAUGCAAGCUUUGGUUACCUUGCCAAUCCCAAUCCAGGAAGCUCGGACUUCACCACCUAUUAAGAAGCUUCAUGACAUAGUAUCCCACAACUGUAGUGACAAGAUAAAAGAGGAAAAGAAGUCUAAUUUUGAUGACAGCAGUAGGGAAGAUAAGGAAGAAGAGAAUAAUUGUCAGAAUCUCCAGGAAAUUAUGAAGUUAGCAGGAUCAUCACCAACUUUAUAGCCAAAUGCAAAGAAAACGAAAGGCAAAUCAGAAGUACCACAAGCUAAGAGAGUAUUGCCUAAAAGGGGUUCCAGAUCAUUUGCUAAAUGACUAUGAAAAUGUUAUUUUAGAACAUCAGGUCUGUGAGGACCUUCCAUGCUUUUCACAGGGUUCAAAUGCUUCAUAAGCAUCAUAAAUUCAGUUUUGUAGCCUUAAUGGAACCAUUCCAAGAAACCAGUCAGUUGCAGAAAUAUGAGGAAAUUGAGGAUGGAAUAUGCUAAUGCUAAUGUAAAUGGGAAGAUAUGGAUUUUUGAUAAUAACAACAUCCAAGUUGACGUACUGGAUGAUUCUGAACAGCAACUCACUACCAAAUUAAAGUUCAUGGAUAAUAAUAAGGAACUUGUAAUCAUAUCUGUUUAUGCUAAAUGUGAGACUACCCAAAGAAUUGAUCUGUGGAAUGAUAUUUAUGGAAUCUGUAAUAGCAUGUCACUUCCAUGGCUUGUGGGUGGGGAUUUUAAUGUUAUUAUUGAUGCUGAAGAGAAAAUUGAAGGGCUACCAGUGUAUCCACAAGAAUACAAAGACUUUGUUUUUUGUAAAAAUUCAUGUGGCUUACUUGAUAUUAAGUUCAAAGGGAGUCCAUUCACAUGGUGGAAUGGAAGAGCUGAAGCAGAGUGCAUCUUCAAGAGACUUGAUAGACUGCUUAUUAUUCAACAAUUUUUUGAUUUUCCUGGUAAGGCUGAGUUAGAACAUUUGGCAAGAACUGGAUCUGAUCAUGCUCCUCUUUUACUUACAUGUGGUGGGCUGGAAAAGCAGGAUAACAGGCCUUUCGGAUUUCUAAAGAUUUGGCUGAUACUGAAGGCUUCAUUGAGGUAGUUAAAAAUGCUUGGGAGUCUAAUACUCAUGAGGAUGUGUUCAUCAACUUCAAGGUAAAAAUGAAGAUGAAAAAAUUAGCUCUAACAAAAUGGAGUAGAGAGAAGCUAGGAUACAUUUUUCAGCAACUAGCAAUCAGGGAAGAAAUCGUGAAAAUAAAAGAAGCGUUAUUCGAAGAGUUUCCAACUGCGGCAAAUAGGGUUGUUUUGAGACAGGCACAAGCUGAAUUAGUAAGGUAUUUGAAGAUGGAGGAGGAUUAUUGGAUGCAAAAGACUGGUAUUCAAUGGUUCUCAGAAGGAGAUCGUAAUACCAGGUUUUUCCAUAGCAUGGUAAGAGGUAGACGCAACAGAUCGAACGUUAACAGGAUUCAGAAAGAAACUGGUGACUAGGCAGAAGGAGAACAACAGGUUGCAGCAGAAGCCAUUAGCUUUUUUCAAGGAGAAAUUCACUACUCAGUUAAUUGCAAAUGAAUACUCUUUGUUGGAAAAUAUUCCAGACUGUCACAAAAGUUGACAACAGAGGUUUAAACGGUUUAUGUCCAGAAGAAGGGAUCAAAGGUGCUGUUUUUUAACUUAAUGGUGAUAGUGCUUGCGGUCCUGAUGGAUUCAAUGGAUUAUUCUACCAAAGGACUUGGGAGUUCAUACGAAAAGAUGUGUGUGCAGUUAUUAAUGCGUUCUUUCAAGGUCAGACUCUUCCUAAAUCAAUUACCCAUUCAAACUUGGUCUUGAUUCCAAAAAAAGAAGCCUUUCAAUCUUUCGCGGAUUUUAGACCUAUAAGUCUUAGUAAUUUUAUUAAUAAGAUUAUAUCAAGAAUUUUACAUGGUAGGUUGGACAAUUUUCUUCCAAAACUUAUCUCUCAAAAUUAAUCUGGUUUUAUAAAAGGAAGGAGUAUCUCUGAAAAUGUCCUGUUGGCUCAAGAAAUCAUCACUGAUAUCAGAAAAAGGGGUAAACCUGCCAAUGUGGUAUUUAAACUUGAUAUGGCUAAGGCGUACGACAGACUUGAAUGGUGCUUUUUAGUUAAGGUUUUGGAAAAAAUGGGUUUUGAUAAAGGAUUUAUCGAUAAAAUUUGGAGAUUGCUUUCUAAUAACCGGUAUUCUAUCUUGAUUAAUGGCCAGUCACAUGGCUUCUUUCAUUCGACUAGAGGUGUGAAGCAGGGUGAUCCUUUAUCAACUGCCCUUUUUAUUAUGGCUGCGGAAGUGUUAUCUAAAAACUUAAAUGACUUGUUUUAUAACAAAGAUUUUAAGAGUUUUGGAAUGCCUAAAUGGAGUGAGCCAAUUAAUCACCUCUCGUAUGCAGAUGACACCAUCAUCUUCACAUCUGCAGACAAGAGAAGUAUGCAGCUGAUUAUGCAUAUUCUUUCUACUUAUGAACUACAAUCUGGCCAAAAGAUAAACAAAGGCAAAAGUUUGUUUUAUGUACAUAAUAAAGUUGCAGGAAGUAUUGUUCAUGACGUUGAAGAUAUUAAUGGUUUUAUCAAAGGUAAGUUCCCUUUCAACUACCUGGGAUGUCCUAUAGGUCAUGCUAAGAAAAAGAAAGUUUAUUUUGCAGAAUUGGUGAAAAAAGUUCAUAACGUUUUGCAAUCUUGGAAAGGCAAACUUCUGUCUUUUGGUGGUAAAUAUGUCCUUAUCAAGAGUGUAUUGCAAAGCAUUCCUAUUUACCUUCUUACAGUUAUUUCUCCUCCUAAGUGUGUCUUACAUGAUCUCUAUAGAGUUUUUGCAAAAUUUCUAUGGAACUUCAAGGAAGUAAGUAGGAAUAAACACUGGGUAUCUUGGCUAGAUAUGUGCUUACCCAAAGAGGAAGGAGGGCUAGGAUUUAAGUCUUUCUUUGAUGUUUCAAAAGCCCUCUUUGCUAAGUUAUGGUGGAGUUUUAGAACUAAAAAAUCCUUGUGGUCUAAUUUCCUUUGGAACAAGUACUGUAAAAGGCAUAGACCUCAAGUGGUAGAUUGGAGAGGGGGGUCACAAACGUGGAAAUUAAUGUUGGAAGCUAGAGAUAUCGUUGACCAACAAAUUCGGUGGGAACCAAGAUGUGGUCAUUCUAGUGCUUGGUUUGACAAUUGGACUAAGUUGGGUGCCUUGUAUUUCUUGCUUCCCAUCAAUUACUCUUUCAAUUAUGAGGUGGAGGACAUUAAACAAUUGUUGAAAAACGGAUGCUGGAAUGUAGACUUGAUUAAUCAACUUUUCCCUAAAGACAUUUGCAUUCAUAUCCUGUCUAAAAUUGAUUAAAUGAUUGAAGAUGAAAGAUGGGAUCAUGCAUGGUGGAUGCCGAAUAACUCUGGCAAGUUCACUGUGAGCUCAUCCUGGGAAUUAAUCAGGCAUAGAGCUGACGAAAAGGAAUUAUAUAGGCUCUUGUGGGUCAAAGGAAUUCCUUUUAAAAUUAAUUUCUUCUUCUGGAGACUAUGCAAGCAAAGACUACCUGUUGGGGAGAUGAAUAGAAGUAUGGGUUUCUCUUACAAUGGAAUCUGCACCUGUUGCAAUGAUCAAGUAACAGAAACCUGGGACCAUUUGUUUGUUACUUGUCAAAAAUCUGCUAGAUUAUGGCAUGUUUUUUCUUCCUCUGCAGGUGUACCAGGUCCUUUUAUACAACUCAAAUAUACAAUAUACAGAUGGUGGAAUGCUAAAUGCAACACUAAGUUGAAACCUGUAUAUCAAGCUAUGCCAAUCUUCAUCCUUUGGCAGAUUUGGAAGGCAAGGAACACAGUAAAGAAUGGAGGCAAAUACUCUUAUUGGAGAAUGGAGAUGGAAGUUAAUACUAACAUCUCUCUAUUUGCUCGAAACAGAUACCCUUGGUUAAAUCAUAUGCCAACGUCAUGGCCUGAAAUAAUUCAGUUUUUGGAUCAGUAUAUGCCACCGAUUCAAGCUCAAGUCAUUACAUGGUCAGCUCCGAAACAAGGAGUAUAUAAGUGUAAUACUGAUGGCUCGUUCAAAAAGAAUUCUGGUACCAGCUCGUGUGCAUUCUGUAUUAGAAACUGGGAAGGUGAUUUAACUUAUGCAGAAUCAAGGAAACUGGAAGAAGAUAACAGUCUUAACGCUGAAGUCAUGGCUAUAAGAAUAGCUCUAAAACACUGCUUCAAUAAUCAAUUCACCCCAUUGAUUAUUGAAACAGAUUCUCUGAUUGCAAAGAGAGUUGUACAAGGUGUGUGGGAGGUACCAUGGACUAUUUCAGUAGAGAUAAAGAAAAUAAGGAGGUUAAUGGCUAAUAUGAUGGUGGCAGUAACACAUAUAUUCAGAGAAGGAAACAUACUAGCAGAUUUUUUAUCUAACUAUGUUCACUGUUUUGCAGGUACUAAGAAAUUAACAUUUAACUCUUUUCAGGAAUUACCAACACAGGCCAAGACAAUCCUUAAUAUGGAUAAAUCCCAGAUGCCAAACAUCAGAAUCAAGAAGUUCCAAAACAAGGAGUUCAACUGCUCAUCACCAACAUAAUACAUCAUUGUACAUCAAGUUUGAAGAUAAAGACGAACUACUAAGGAACAUUACGUCGAGGGUGUACUAUAGGUGAUCAAAUAACACUCUCCAUUCCAUCUUUUGGCAGUGGUACUAGUCUAUGACUCAUCCUGCUAGAGAAAAUGAAGAGUGUUCUUUGAUCAUUGAUAAAAAAACACUUGACCACACCUGUAAUCACUCAAUCUCCUUUCUGGGUGCUGCAAACUCCUGUAGAGGAUUUCGACAUUUGUUGUUGGCUGUGAAGUUUCAAACCAAGGAAUUCAUCGACCUACGGUUGUAUAUAUGAGGAAUUGAAGAUGUCUUCAUGGAUUAGAUUGACUUGGCAUUCGUGAGAGUUUUUGAAUGCCCUACGAGCAAUCAACCCAAAUUCCUCAAAAAAGAAUUGCUGGUAGAAGAAUGAUUUGAUUGGGUGCUCUACAAGCCAACUCCAUCGUCCUCAGUACACUGAUAUCAACUAGAGCGUCCUGCGAUGAAUAGCGAAAAGAGGAAUUUUGUUUGCUUAGCUUUGGUUUUUCUUUUGUCUUUUUUCGUAUUUUGCUUUGCUGUUUUUCUUUUUUUGUAUUUUCUUUUCUUCUCAACUUCCCCAGUGAUUGAUCCACUUCUGUUAUUGUUUCACUUUUUAAAGAAAUAAAAUACUUUUAAUUCAAAAAAAAAAAAAUGGAUCCUUACCUUCCAUGGACCCCAAGAAUCCUUUUUCAAUAUACAAGAUUUAUGAUUUAUGAAUUCCAUGUUUGAAUUAGAUUGAAUUCAUGUUCAUGGUAUUGUUUGACUUUUAAUCCAUGAUUUAGAUUACUAGUUCCAAAAAUUGAUUCUAG
RNAcentral lists this long non-coding RNA (17011 nucleotides) under Capsicum annuum. RNAcentral's name for it is "long non-coding RNA (CANN_LNC019490)". Lineage: Eukaryota; Viridiplantae; Streptophyta; Magnoliopsida; Solanales; Solanaceae. The record is from RNAcentral.